UUUUAUUCAAAGUUAGGUUAAAAUACAGAUAAGGUAAAAAGCUCAUACCUUUCCUUUCUUUCUCAUAUGGGUUUGCUACCGGCACUAGAAUCGGAACAGAUUAAAGUGAUCGGCAUCUAACAGGUAAAAAACUUUAUUCAUUAUUCUUUUAUAAAAAGUAACAAAUUAAAGUGAUUGCUUGAUUUGUGUUUUUGAGAUUUUUAGGGUUCUUCUUUCUUGAUGUGUUAAAAUAAUCUAUAUGAGGUUUAU
This 249-nucleotide long non-coding RNA is filed under the name Lathyrus oleraceus (garden pea). RNAcentral's name for it is "Pisum sativum (pea) long non-coding RNA (PSAT_LNC033630)". The record is from RNAcentral. Lineage: Eukaryota; Viridiplantae; Streptophyta; Magnoliopsida; Fabales; Fabaceae.